UGAGGAAUAUUGCGCAAUGGGCGAAAGCCUGACGCAGCGACGCCACGUGAGCGAUGAAGUCUUUCGGGAUGUAAAGCUCUGUCAAGAGGAACGAUUAUGACGGUACCUCUAAAGGAAGCCCCGGCUAACUACGUGCCAGCAGCCGCGGUAAUACGUAGGGGGCAAGCGUUAUCCGGAUUUAUUGGGCAUAAAGCGCGCGUAGGCGGUAUAUUAAGUCAGAUGUUAAAUACUUCAGCUCAACUGAAGCCCGCAUUUGAAACUAAUAUACUAGAGUUUAGUAGAGGAAAGCGGAACUCACAGUGUAGCGGUGAAAUGCGUAGAUAUUGUGAGGAACACCAGUUGCGAAGGCGGCUUUCUGGACUAAUACUGACGCUGAGGUGCGAAAGCGUGGGGAGCGAACGGG
RNAcentral lists this ribosomal RNA (403 nucleotides) under uncultured bacterium. RNAcentral's name for it is "bacterial SSU rRNA". It matches the Rfam family "Bacterial small subunit ribosomal RNA", at positions 355 to 776 of the family's 1533-position model. The record is from RNAcentral.